Molecule: long non-coding RNA, 7887 nt
Organism: Acinonyx jubatus (cheetah)
Lineage: Eukaryota; Metazoa; Chordata; Mammalia; Carnivora; Felidae
Exons: 4
Source: RefSeq, a predicted model, not a curated record
UACAAAGGAUAUCAAUUAUAUUGAAAUGCAAUCAUCAAAAUAUAUUAAAAACCUAAUUUAUAUGCUUCUUUAUUAAAGCAUGACAUGACAACAGCUAGUGGUGUGCCUAAAAGUUUAUGGCAGUGGGAAACAUAAAUGGUACUUUGAGAUACUCGUGACGAUUGUGAUGCAAUAUCAAAAUGUCUGUGACAUCUAUUGUUCACAAUGUCACAGGUAAUGCUAAUACCACUGUGAAGUGCUCACUACUUUCAAAGUGAAAAGAAACACUUCAUUUCAUUUAGCAUUCCCUUUAAAAAGGGAUUUGUCGAUCGUGGAGUCAGUGUAAGGUUAGGCUGUGUAUCUGAGACCUUUCUUCCUUCUUUAGGAAGGCCUGGAUUGCUAUAUACUUCCCUCUUAUGACCGCCUUUGCUGUGUCCCAGAGGUUUUGAGCUGUAGUGUUAUCAUUUUCAUUGGCUUCCAUGUACUUUUUAAUUUCCUCUUUAACUUCUUGGUUAGCCCAUUCAUUCUUUAGUAGGGUGUUCUUUAGUCUCCAAGUGUUUGUUAUCUUUCCAAAUUUUUUCUUGUGGUUGAUUUGGAGUUUCAUAGCGUUGUGAUCUGAAAAUAUGCAUGGUAUGAUCUUGAUCUUUUUGUACUUGUUGAGGGCUGAUUUGUGUCCCAGUAUGUGAUCUGUUCUGGAGAAUGUUCCACGUGCACUAAAGAAUGUAUAUUCUGCUGCUUUAGGAUGAAAUGUUCUCAAUAUAUCUGUUAAGUCCAUCUGGUCCAGUGUCAUUCAAAGCCAGUUUUCUUGUUUAUUUUCUGUUUAGAUGAUCUGUCCAUUGCUGUAAGUGGGGUGUUAAAGUUCCCUACUAUGAUGGCAUUAUUAUCAGUGAGUUUCUUUGUUUGUGAUUAAUUGAUUUAUAUAUUUGGGUACUUCCACAUUUGGAGCAUAAAUGUUUACAAUUGUUAGGUCUUCUUGGUGGAUUGACCCCUUAAUUAUGAUAUAAUGCCCUUCUUCAUCUCUUGUUAUAGUCUUUAUUUAAAGUCUAGAUUGUCUGAUAUAAGUAUGGCUACUCCAACUUUCUUUUGUUGACCAUUCUCAUGAUAGAUGGUUCUCCAUCCCCUUACUUUCAAUCUGAAGGUGUCUUUAGGUCUAAAGUGGGUCUCUUGUAAACAGCAUAUAGAUGGAUCUUGUUUUCUUAUCCAUUCUAUUACCCUGUGUCUUUUGAUUGGAGCAUUGAGUCCAUUGACGUUUAGAGUGAUUACUGAAAGAUAUGAAUUUAUUGCCAUUAUGUUUCUUGUAGAGUUGGAGUGUCUGCUGGUGUUCUCUGAUCCUUUCUAGUCUUUGUUGCUUUUGGUCUUUUUUUGUUGUUGUUGUUCAUCUUUUCUCCCCUCAGAGAGUUCCCCUUAAAAUUUCUUGCAGGGCUGGUUUAGUGGUCACAGACUGCUUAAUUUUUGUUUCUCUGGAAAACUUUUACUCUCUCCUUCUAUGUUCAAUGACAGCCUAGCUGUAUAAAGAAUUCUUGGCUGCAUAUUUUUCCGAUUCAGCACAUUGAAUAUAUCCUGCCACUACUUUCUGGACUGCCAAGUGUCUGUGGAUAGGUCUGCUGCAAACCUAAUCUGUCUUCCUUUGUAGGUUAAGGACUUUUUUUUUCCCUUGCUGCUUUCAUGUUUCUUUCCUUGCCACAAAUUUUUUGUGAAUUUGACUAUGCCUUGUUGAUGGUCAGUUUUUUGUUGAAUCUAAUGGGAGUCCUCUGUGCUUCCUGGAUUUUGAUGUCUUUGUCUUUCCCCAGGUUAGGAAAGUUUUCUACUAUGAUUUGCUCACAUAACCCUUCUACCCCUAUUUCUCUGUCUUCAUCUUCUGGGACCCUAUGAUUCUAAUGUUGUUCCUUUCUAAUGAGUCACUGAUUUCUCUAAUUCUUAAAUAGUGCUCUUUUGCCUUAGUCUCCCUCUUUUUUUCUGCUUCAUUAUUCCCCAUAAGUUUGUCCUCUGUAUUGCUGAUUGGCUGCUCUGCCUCAUCCAUCCUUCCCACUGUGGCACCAUUAAAAGGUUGCAGCUCAGUUAUAGCAUUUUUAAUUUCAUCCUGACUAGCUUUUAUUUCUUUUAUCUCUGCAGAAAGGGAUUUUAAUCUAUUUUUCACCCCAGCUAGUAUUCUUAUUAUCGUGAUUCUAAAUUCUGGUUCAGACAUCUUGCUUGUAUCUGUGUUGGUUAAGUCCCUGGCUGUCGUUUGUUCCUGUUCUUUCUUUUGGGGUGAAUUCCUUUAUUUUGUCAUUUUGAAGAAAGAAAAGGAAUUAAUGAAGCAAACAAUUUUUUAAUUAAAAAAAUUAUAAUUAAAAAAUUAAAAUUAAAAAAUUAAAAACAACACACACCAAAAAAAUCAAAUAAAUGAUGCUAGUUCCUAGGUGUGUUUUCAUCUGGGUGUUGAAAGAGGCUUCAUAGAUUAGAGAAAAAAAGGGAAAAAGAAAAAAAAGUGUUUGAAAAUUUGAAAAAAUGAAUACAAUGAAAUGGAAUAAAAUGAAAUGAUGGAAACAAAAUAGAAUUUGAAGAAUUUACAAAAAAGUAAAAAAUAUAGUAGAAAAAAAUUAAAGAAAAAUAUUUUUAAUAAAAAUUGAAAAUAAAAAUAAAUUUUUUCCCUUUCUGUAUUCAAGAAAAAGAAAAGAAAAAAAAAGAAAAUUGAAUAGAUGGACCAGCAAACAGACUUGAAAUACGAUUGAAAUUACAUUGUUUUCUUCUAGAAGUCAAACUAUGAAGCACUUUAUAGUCCAUAAACUAAGCAGGAGGAGAGAUUUGAGGUGUUCCUGAAGAGCCGGGUUGGACCAGUCGGUUGGGCUUAGUGUAAUGGUUCCAUUCUCCACUAGAUGGCGCCGCUUAGCUUACUAGGGUGGAUUGUUGUAGCGCUUGUAGGUGUGUGUGCGUGCAUGCGCGGGAGCGGUGAAAAAUGGCGUCACCCAGCUCCCAGUCUCUAGUAUUGGAACUCCGUUCUCUGCGAUCAGCAAUUGUGCACCCGUCCUCCAUCUCUGGCUUCCAUCCACUUCCCGCUUUUACCCUGUCGGUGACCAAGCCGUCAGGUUGCCAGGCAGCACCUCCCUCCUGAGUUUUAUCUCAGAUGCGGCUGUUUUCCCUACCCGUGCUUCUGAGGGACUGCAGCUAUGACCAGUUCUACCCCUUUACGGGAGGGUCUCAUCGAGCAAUGGGCAGGUGCCAGCCACACCCAGGAACGUUUGAGACUGCGCUGCUGCCAAUACCCAGAAACUGCGGCGGGCUGCCAGCCCACCCCAGAAAAAGUUCACACGAUCGUCUGGCAGCAGUCUUUCAGGGAUUAUGGAAAAUCACAACACACAUCUGGCACCAGGAUUCUCUCAUAAAAACCUUGUUCCACCACCAACGGCUGUGGUUGUUCUCCAGGAUCUGCUGGUACCUUUGCCUGUGGGGAGUACUCCCAGAAGAGGAACCGCUUCUCCCCAUGUGGCCCAAAGACCCUGGACUUCACUCUGCUCCUGGGGAUUCGCCCUUCUCACCAGAGCACCGCCAGAAUCACAUCAUCAUCACUGGAAUUCUCUUCACAGAAGAACCCGCUGUCUGGCUGUUGGGAAACCAAGCACUAUUACUGCAGCUUCUCGCUGGACUACACUGACAGCAUCUCUCUUCAGCCAUGCCUGCAUUUACUCCUUCUGUCCCCAGGCACCUUGGUGCUCAUUCAAUAGCACACCUGGAAGUGUGAUCAUAGGAACGUCCAGGCCAGAGAGGCAGUCAGAGUCAUCUACCAACGCGCUCAUCAUACAGUCACCAUUCUUUGGCUGCAGUCAACAGAAACCAACUCCAGCUAAUUUACUGGAAGAAUAUAGGGUGGCUCACAGACUUGAAGAAAAAAAUGAAGACUAAGUCUUUGGAAAAACACAAACCAGGACAGCUAUGGGGUUCCACAAAGCAAGAACUAAUGAACCACCUCUUUGAGACACGAAACUAAAAGAAUUCCAGUGGUUUUCAGGCUCUACAAGUUCCCAGAGAUGGGGCCUUUGAUUGGUGUAGCUUGGCUUACUGCUUACCUCUCUGCUACCUGAAGGGGGAGCCUGUGAACUGACAGCCCAUUAGGACAGUGCCCAAUGGGGCAGGGGCUCAUCCCCCAAAGUAAAAUUGAAGCACUGUUAACAGAAGAAGAAUGAAAGGUCCCUAGGCAGGCAAAACCCACCGAUAUCCACAGAAGGCAUCUGAGGAACCAGGAAAAUUAGGAACAGGAAGAAGAAGAUCUGUACUUGGGGUUUUCUCAAAGCCUCCUGAUGCACUCUCCUUCUUCCUUCCAGCUCUAUAUCUAACCUACAGUCAUUGCUCCUCUAUUUUUCAAUUUUAUGCUGAUGCAGAUUAUGUAGAAUUAUAGAUGGUUUGCCAUCAGUUUCUCAUUGCACCAAAAUCAGUAAGAAAAUAUUCAAAAAUUGGGGGAAGUAGGAGUGGAAGAAUCAAUGGCACCUGAGUAAAACAGAGACAAAUAAAAGCAUGGUUUGCCAUGUCUGCACUUAAACAAGUAUUUUGCUAAGUCUGUAUUUGUACAGGCAAUGGUCACAGUUCACUGAUUUACCAAGUCUGAUUCCAUGGAUAAAUUGGUCUCCUUUUGUUUAAUUCAUCAAGUGACUUCUAAUUUAUAAUGUUUCUCCCUUUGUCUCAAUAUGACAAGAGGUCUUGAAGAACCCUUACACAGAAAUGUCAAAUUAUUUGGAUGCUCACGAUGUAAAAGCACCCUCUGCAUUCUGAAUAAUUCUUUUCAAGAAAUAUGUGUUGAAUGCUUGCCAUGUACCAGGUGCUGGACUCAGUAAAGAUGUCUUGCCACCAAGAGCAGCCCAAAUUUGUUGGAUCUGCUGCAUGUACCCUGAAUGGAUUAGAUGCUGCCUUUCCUGCUUCUCCUCUGCCCACCAUAGGUCAUGAUGCCUGCUUAGCAACACCUAGUGGUCAGCAGAGGGAACUGUCUGAAUCAAUGACGUGUUUUGGUCUUCCUUCUCUUACCAGUUAAAGCAAAUGCUCUUCUGCCCUGUCAGGUCCCAUUUCCAGACCAAAUGAUUACAACCUCUUUUCAUAUCUUUUUCAUGUAUGUGUGUCUAGAUUACUUUUAAAAAUCUCAUUUUGUCCCCCUGUUAAUUCUCAUAUUUGACCAAAACCUUGGAAACAUUCUUAUAGUACCUUUCAUCCCAGGAAAAUUUGACUUCGGAGUGAGCAAAAAAGACAGCUGCAUAUCUCCAAUGGUCUCUCAAAACAAAAUAAUAUUAAAUCUAAAUUUUCCCUACUUCCUUUAUUUGGGUUCAAAUAAUAUGAACAGGAACAGAAUUUAACCCAACUUUAACUUUGAAAUAUAUAGAUCCCUCUUUUUAAGGACAACAAGUAAACAGAAAAUUCAGCAGAUGUGGAGAGAGUUGAUGCUGCAAAGGGAACGCAUUCAUGAAGAAGCUGGACCCAGUCCGGUGCAAUCACAAAGCCCCUACUUUUUCUCAGUGCUUCUCACUCUGACAAUCCAUUCUUUCUGAGCCCAUUGGAUGAAAUCUUGGUCAGUUUCCACAUAUUUCCCAAGAACUCUUAGCUUAAAAAAAAAAUCUAAAUCAGUCUAAUGAUCAUAUAAGUCUAGUCCAGUGUAAUAUAAAAUACUCCAAAUACUCUUUUUGUAGUUGACAGUCUUCCCUCACUGCCAGUUUGAAAACUGGAAUGAAAGGGGAAGAUUAAUUAUCAGCUUCUCACCCUGUCCUAUCUCCUUCUCUAACCCUAUUUGCUAAGUUGGACUUUCCGAUCUCUCCAGGGUCUAAGGGACAGAUGUACAUGGUGAAAGAUACAUCAUCAGAGCUGUCCCUCAGUAGAACAUCUGGGACAGCUGCCUUAACGCUUCUGCUUGGGGGGAGGGGAGAGUCUAUUUGCAUCGUGUCUUAAUUCCUCAUUUUGUUACAUCGUUAAAAUUUAAUUUGAAAAAUUCUUUUCAUGAUAACCUAAGGAACCAUGAAUGAUGCCCUAAUAUGCAGACUCCUUUCAAGUAGACUCGUCCUAAGUAGCCUUCCCAGGUCCAUAGCCCAUUUGGGUCAGCCCUGAACUAGGUCUUGCCUUGCUGGCCAGCCUGGUGCCCCGGCAUGGCAGAUGCACCAUGGCUGGCACUGGACCCAGCUGCCUGAGCUCUAAUCCUAGCUCCACUAUUUCCUGGCCACAUGAUUGGGCAAGUUACUUGGCUUCUUUGUAACUCAGUUUCCUUGUUUAUAGUACUAGGGUAAUAAUAGUCCCCACUUCAUAAACUUGUUAUGAGAAGUAAAUGAAGUAAACUAUGUACAGCUCUUAGAUGAGUGUCUGGUACAUACUAAGUGCUUACUAAAUACUAGCUAUUAUUAGUUUUUUUUAAGGUUAAAGUAUAAAUGACAACCUGAAAAAAUAUUUGGAAUAAGUAUAAAAUACAAAAAGUUACUAUUCAUAACAUAGGACAAACUCUUAUAAAUAUAAUAGAAGAAGGAAAUCGAGGGGUGCCUGGGUGACUCAGUUGGUUGAGCAUCUGACUUUGGCUCAGGUCAUGAUCUCAUGGUUCGUGAGUUCGGGCCCUGCAUCAGGCUCACUGCUGUCAGCUCAGGGUCUGCUUCAUGUCCUCUGUCCCCCUCUCUCUCUGCCUCUCUCAACCUCUCUCUCUCUUUCAAAAAUAAAUAAACAUUUAAAAAGAAGAAGAAAAUCCAAGAGAAAAAAUGAUCAAAAGAUAUGGGAAAGCAUUUUAGAAAAUAACUGAAAAUUACUAAUGAAGAAAAAAGUGCCCACCUCAGUUGUAAUAAAAGAAAUGCAACUUAAAACAAUUACAAUGUGCCAUAUGUUGCCCUCAGACUUAAAACCAUUUUCAUAUUGGUGAGAACAUGAGGGCACUCCCAUAUACUGUUAGUGAAAAUAGAAAUUAGCAAAAGUCUCUGUGGAGAGCAAUGAGCUAGUACCUCCCAAAUUUUAAAUACAUGCUACCAGACAGACUAACUACAUAUCCCAAGGAUCAUACACUUCCUAUAUUUGCUUAUCCCAGAGAGGACCAUUGACCCUUCUUAAAAAAUGCCCACUCAGUCUCCAAGAUUUCAUUUGUGGUCUGCACCUCAAAUUCUCUAAUUCCUCUCUAAAACUUAUCAGGAGAUCAUGCAUCUUUAAAUUAAUAAACAGAUUUUCCUGCUUAGUCGCGAAAUUAAAUCUAUCUUUCAUUUGAAAAUCUAAAUCCGGGCAUGGUCCACUUUUUCUGUAAAAGGCCAGACAGUAAAUGUUUCCAGUUCUGAGAGCCAUACAAUCUCUGUCACAAUUACUCAACUUUGCUGUUGUAGCACAAAAGCCACUACUGACAAUAUGUAAAUGAACGAGUGUAGUUGUGUUCCAAUAAAACUUUAUUUGUGCACGUUUAAAUUGAGCUUUGUGGGGCGCCUGGGUGGCUCAGUCGGUUGGGCUUCCGACUUCGGCUCAGGUCGUGAUCUCGCGGUCCGUGGUUUCGAGCCCCGCGUUGGUCUCUGUGCUGACAGCUCAGAGCCUGGAGCCUGUUUCAGAUUCUGUGUCUCCCUCUUUCUCUGACCCUCCCCUUUUCAUGCUCUCUGUCUCAAAAAUAAAUAAAUGUUAAAAAAAAUUUUUUUAAUUGAGCUUUGUAUUAUUUUCAUGUGUCACAAAGUAUCAUUCUUCUGAUCUUUUUCAACUAUUAAAAAGUGUAAAAAAGGGGCGCCUGGGUGGCUCAGUCGGUUGGGCGGCCGACUUCGGCUCAGGUCGUGAUCUCAUGGUCCGUGGGUUCGAGCCCCGCGUGGGGCCUGUGCUGACGGCUCAGAGCCUGGAGCCUGCUUCGGAUUCUGUGUCUCCCUCUCUCUCUGCCCCUCCCCUGUUCAUGCUCUGUCUCUCUCUGUCUCAAAAAUAAAUAAACGUUAAAAAAAAUUUUUUUAAAAAGUGUAAAAAAGA